This 632-nucleotide long non-coding RNA is filed under the name Heterocephalus glaber (naked mole-rat). RNAcentral's name for it is "lncRNA (ENSHGLG00100035599.1)". Lineage: Eukaryota; Metazoa; Chordata; Mammalia; Rodentia; Bathyergidae. The record is from RNAcentral.
GUGAAAGUCACCAGGAAAGAGGAACCUGGGGGCCAGGGGACUGCAAGGCGGCGCAGGCCAGCACACGUCGAGUGCCUGGAGUUGCUCAGCACCAUCGGAGCAGCCCAGGGGGUUGUGUUCGCCUCCCAGGAGGCCCAAGGGCGACCCCAGGGACUUGCAGAAGAGUGUUGCAAAGGAAAACACCAAAUGUUUGAGAAGUUGUGUCGUGAUCGUGUGGAUACAGGUGUUGUCAUUGAUAGAGAAGUGCUACACAAUAAGACAGGCCCUUGCCUCGCCUCCAUUUGUUUUCCACAGAAUGUUUUCUUUGGACAUGUAAGUUUGUGCUGCUGGGCUCCUGCCCAAUGUAUCAAAAUGGUUUGUGGCUGUUUGAACUGUGUGACCUUUCAGGAAUGUUCUGUUAAACUCUGCCCCCUCACAAGAAGGUUCUGUUAAGCUCCGCUCCCUCUCAGUAAUGUUCUGUAACUCCGCCCCUUUGCUUCAGGAAUGUUCUGUAACUCUUCCUCCUGCUUCAUUGAGCAUGCUGGCCUACCCUGUAUAUCCCUAUAUAAGGAGGCUCUCAUUUCUGGUAGAGCACUCAAGACUCCUCUGAGCCCACCAGGAUUUGCUGGUGUAAUAAAGGUUUUUAUCUCCAC